Molecule: ribosomal RNA, 447 nt
Filed under: uncultured organism
Description: bacterial SSU rRNA
Rfam family: Bacterial small subunit ribosomal RNA
Source: RNAcentral
GCGCACCAGGCGAGAAAAUUUUUCUCAAUGGGGGCAACCCUGAAGGAGCGACGCCGCGUGGAGGAUGAAGGCUUUCGGGUUGUAAACUCCUGUCAUUUGAGAACAAGUGGCCGAACCUAACUACUUCGGCCUUGAUAGUAUCAGAAGAGGAAGGGACGGCUAACUCUGUGCCAGCAGCCGCGGUAAUACAGAGGUCCCAAGCGUUGUUCGGAUUCAUUGGGCGUAAAGGGUGCGUAGGUGGCGCCGUCAGUGGGGUGUGAAAUUUCGGAGCUUAACUCCGAAACUGCAUUCCAUACUGCGGUGCUUGAGGACUGGAGAGGAGACUGGAAUUUACGGUGUAGCAGUGAAAUGCGUAGAGAUCGUAAGGAAGACCAGUGGCGAAGGCGGGUCUCUGGACAGUUCCUGACACUGAGGCACGAAGGCCAGGGGAGCAAACGGGAUUAGAUA